AUUGAGCGCUGGCGGCAGGCUUAACACAUGCAAGUCGAGCGGGGUGAUGGUGCUUGCACUAUCACUUAGCGGCGGACGGGUGAGGAAUGCUUAGGAAUCUGCCUAUUAGUGGGGGACAACAUCCCGCAAGUGCUGCUAAUACCGCAUACGUCCUACGGGAGACAGCAGGGGAUCUUUCUUACCUUGCGCUAAUAGAUGAGCCUAAGUCGGUUUAGCUAGUUGGCGGGGUAAAGGGCUACCAAGGCGACGAUCUGUAGCGGGUCUGAGAGGAUGAUCCGCCACACUGGGACUGAGACACGGCCCAGAAUCCUACGGGAGGCAGCAGUAGGGAAUAUUGGACAAUGGGGGGAACCCUGAUCCAGCCAUGCCGCGUGUGUGAAGAAGGCCUUAUGGUUGUAAAGCACUUUAAGCGAGGAGGAGGCUCUUUUGGUUAAUACCCAGAAUGAGUGGACGUUACUCGCAGAAUAAGCACCGGCUAACUCUGUGCCAGCAGCCGCCGUAA
This 502-nucleotide ribosomal RNA is filed under the name uncultured bacterium. RNAcentral's name for it is "partial 16S ribosomal RNA". It matches the Rfam family "Bacterial small subunit ribosomal RNA", at positions 30 to 523 of the family's 1533-position model. The record is from RNAcentral.